RNAcentral lists this ribosomal RNA (253 nucleotides) under uncultured bacterium. RNAcentral describes it as "partial 16S ribosomal RNA". It matches the Rfam family "Bacterial small subunit ribosomal RNA", at positions 524 to 776 of the family's 1533-position model. The record is from RNAcentral.
UACAUGGGGUGCAAACGUUGCUCGGAAUUAUUGGGCGUAAAGCGCACGUAGGCGGUUCGUUAAGUCGGAUGUGAAAGCCCUCGGCUCAACUGAGGAAGUGCACCCGAAACUGGCGAGCUUGAGUACGAAAGAGGAUCGCGGAAUUCCCGGUGUAGAGGUGAAAUUCGUAGAUAUCGGGAGGAACACCGAUGGCGAAGGCAGGUCUCUGGGCCACUACUGACGCUGAGAAGCGAAAGCAUGGGGAGCGAACAGG